Molecule: ribosomal RNA, 462 nt
Filed under: uncultured bacterium
Lineage: Bacteria
Description: partial 16S ribosomal RNA
Rfam family: Bacterial small subunit ribosomal RNA
Source: RNAcentral
GACGAACGCUGGCGGCGUGCUUAACACAUGCAAGUCGAGCGGAAAGGCCCUUCGGGGUACUCGAGCGGCGAACGGGUGAGUAACACGUGAGUAACCUGCCCCAGACUUUGGGAUAACCCUCGGAAACGGGGGCUAAUACCGGAUACGACACAGCUUCGCAUGGGGUCUGUGUGGAACGUUUUUCGGGUUGGGAUGGGCUCGCGGCCUAUCAGCUUGUUUGUGGGGUGAUGGCCUACCAAGGCGACGACGGGUAGCCGGCCUGAGAGGGCGACCGGCCACACUGGGACUGCGACACGGCGCAGACUGCUACGGGAGGCAGCAGUGGGGAAUAUUGCACAAUGAGCGGAAGCCUGAUGCAGCGACGCCGCGUGGGGAAAGACGGCCUUCGGGUUGUAAACCUCUUUCAGCAGGGACGAAGCGUGAGUGACGGUACCUGCAGAAGAAGCGCCGGCCAACUACGUG